RNAcentral lists this ribosomal RNA (281 nucleotides) under uncultured prokaryote. Its description in RNAcentral is "partial 16S ribosomal RNA". It matches the Rfam family "Bacterial small subunit ribosomal RNA", at positions 524 to 803 of the family's 1533-position model. The record is from RNAcentral.
UACGUAGGGGGCAAGCGUUAUCCGGAAUUAUUGGGCGUAAAGAGUGCGUAGGUGGUUACCUAAGCGCAAGGUUUAAUCUUGAGGCUCAACCUCAUUCUGCCUUGCGAACUGGGCUACUUGAGUGCAGGAGGGGAAAGCGGAAUUCCUAGUGUAGCGGUGAAAUGCGUAGAUAUUAGGAAGAACACCGGUGGCGAAGGCGGCUUUCUGGACUGUAACUGACACUGAGGCACGAAAGCGUGGGGAGCAAACGGGAUUAGAUACCCGCGUAGUCCCUGAGCGGG